CCCCACCCAUGCCGCCGCCGCCGGAGCCACCCACCGCCCCGCCUCCCUCACACAGACCUCACCGCCGGCCAUGGCCUUCCCCAACAGCCGCCGCUCCGGCCCUCUCCCCCUCCCCUCCCCUUAUCACAAGACAAGAGAAGAGAAGAGGGAGGGAAAUCGAUCGCGACCGAGCAGGUCAAGCGGCGACAAUGGCGCGCCCAGACCCGCCAGCGUCGUCGUCGUCGAGCUCUGCUGGGCGGCGCAGUCCGGUAGAGUAGGAAUGAGGGGGCGGUGGGACGCCUCCCCUGCUCGAGCUGCUCCAAGCGAGCGACCACAGCGCCGGAUCCACCUCCACAACCACCCCCCGGCGGCCACGGAAGGUCAGGGACCUUCGUCCGGUCCGUGUGCUUCUUCUCCAUGGAGCUCCGACACCGCAGCAGCCGCAUCCAUGGAAGGUCCCUCUUCUCCUCCCCGCCUCUCUCUCCCUCCCUCCCUCUGUUUGUUUCGAUCUGGAAACUGUCUGAUUCGAUUUCCUCACAUGCGCACGUGCUUCUUCCGCUCUCCGCUGCUCCAACCCUAGUGCCGACGCCAUGGACCUCGUCAAUCGUGGUUUGCUGCUGCCGCCGACCGUUUCCCUGACAAGUUGACACCAAAGCCACCAUUGUCAAAGCCGCCGUUGGCCGGCGUUGCCACUGGUCGCUGCUCCACGCAUCUUGUCGGUGCUGCGAGGCGAUGCCAUCUACAUAUGUUGCUGCAGCCUGGGAGGUGGCAGGGUCUCCAGGUGAUGCCCUCUUUGCUGCCCAAUCGUUGAAGAUGCCAUAGGACGAGAUCCUCUGCUGCUGCUGUGUCUGGUGGUUGAAGAAGGGGUGUGCUGGGAAGAGGAGGCAGUGUUGAGAGUGCUCGAUCUGGAACAGGACGAGCUUGGGCUGCAUCGGCUCUGGUUCUCAACCUCCAACAUGAGUCCCUUUCUUCCGUGCCUCGAACUCCACGAGUCAUCAUGGGCACUGCAGAUGCGGAGGAGUUUUUCCGGGGCGAUCUGCUUGUUCCCGGCCGCGCUGGUGUCAACUACCUCGAGCCACUAUGACCAUCCCAACCACGCUCACCCCCCUGAACGAAUUGUUUGUGGAUCUGCAAAGGGGGAUUCAAUUAAUUUUCAGUUGUAGAAAAGGGAGAAGGGGGAUUCAAUUAAUUUUCCUCCUCAAGAUCAAAGAAACAAAAUCUUUGUGGCGAUGAUAGAAGGGGUUCACGACUUCACGUUAAUACACAGACUAUUGGUAAGGGCAUUAAAACAUAUAUCUGGUGUGAAAUGGUCGUACAUGCUUGAUUAGAAUAUUUUCAAGUGUUGUAGGUGUACGGCUGUGGGGAAACAUUUUCAUGGUCUAAUUUUCUAAUUAAUGUAUGCACGAGACAUGAAUCUUGGAUUCUAAACUUUUUCCUCGAUGUUUGGGCUUCCUCUAACUUUUCGUAUAUUGCACACAACACAACACAUAGAUUCAUGUCUUCCAUGCUUGCUGUCUUGUAACAAACAGAUGUUGGGAUGGAUACUAAUUUUCUAAAUGAUUUGAACUCAUGUUGUUUUCUAUUCUACUGUCAUUGGUUCAUCAUUCUGAACCAUUCAAUUGUUGGAACUCCGGCAUAUAUUGGUCCUGAAGUUAUGCUGAAGAAAGAAUAUGAUGCAAGCUAUGAUCCAUCCUAUUUUGUGCUUUAAACGGUCUGCUGCAUACUCUGCCAUCUGCUGCAUAACUUAAUUCUGUUUGCUCGGCCAUAAAAGCCUUACUUGAUUUCUGAAUCUUCCAUUCACCUUUCGUUGUCAUGAGUGGUGAAUGGUCUUGAGGAGUAACCAUUUAGAUACUGUAUGUUUUUUUGCUCAAACACGAUCUCGACAUUGAUAAUAGCAGAGAGAUAAUAUACGCCUUAUAAUCUUGUAACUGUAGAAAAAAGUAUAGAUAACCCCCAGAAGUAUCCUGUUUGGAUCACAUAACCCCCCCAUGUUUAAAACCGAGUUCUUAAUCCCCUGAACUAUUCUAAACCAGACAUAUCACCCCCUAGCACCCACUUAAGUAGUUUGGGACCGUGCUUUUGCAUAUGUGGCGCCUGGGCUGGGCCCAUCGACCGGCCACGUCGGACUGGGCCUGCUGGGUGCGGUCUAAAUGACGCCCUCGAGCAGGUUCGACCCAGACUCGGCCUCUUCGCCUCGCAAUUUAGCGUGAGCUUUUUAAUUUUUCAGCAGUGUACUACAGCAAAUUGUUGAUCAUUAUACUGUUCUGUAUGCAAUGCUAUGUUAAAGAAGGAAACUUUUGACAACAAAUAUUUUAUGACUGUACUAUUCUGUAUGGAAUGGUGUGUUGCAAGAUAUUUUAUCAGAAGUGUACAUAUUAUUGGCAUCAAAUUCAGAAAUAGACAGCAAAUUUCCAUAGCAUUGAAGAUCUUAAAUUCACACAAUAAGUUCCAUGGAAUACUCAGGUUCAACCUGAUAAAAGCUACAGGUCUUUGACAUGCAAAACUCCACAAACGACACUUAAUUGUCAAGGAAUUUGAUGUUUCACAUCAAAUAAAAGCACACACUUCUAUCUGGUGUUACACAUCAACUACGUGACAUUGAAAAACAAUCUGGGCAUUCACUUUUUCCGCAGUGAGAAGUCAUUCCAGCCUGUUAUUUGUUUGCACUUGCAUCUGCUGUGAGCUUGAAGAAGCCCUGUUGUGAAUGCUCAGAUUGUAUGUGCAUCUGCUGUGAGCUUGAAGAAGCACUUGCAUCAACUACGUAACUAUAUGUGCAGAAGUAGUUGUGGUGUUCCUUCCACCUUAUGAAUUAGUCUGUGAAGAGGUGAAUAGUCAGGAGCCCCAUGGAGCCAAACAAACAUUAUGUUCAGGCUACAGAUUAUAUUCAUACUACAGCUUGAGUCUGAAUUUGUAUUGAUACACGAAAAUGUCAUGUGUGCCAAGAAAAGUAUGUUAACUGUACAAUCAA
Long non-coding RNA from Triticum aestivum (bread wheat), 2947 nucleotides. RefSeq lists it as uncharacterized. The record is from RefSeq and is a predicted model, not a curated record. Lineage: Eukaryota; Viridiplantae; Streptophyta; Magnoliopsida; Poales; Poaceae. The transcript is spliced from 4 exons.